UGACGGAAGGGCACCACCAGGAGUGGAGCCUGCGGCUUAAUUUGACUCAACACGGGAAACCUCACCAGGUCAGGACAUUGUCAGGAUUGACAGAUUGAUAGCUCUUUCUUGAUUCAGUGGGUAGUGGUGCAUGGCCGUUCUUAGUUGGUGGAUCGAUUUGUCUGGUUAAUUCCGAUAACGAACGAGACUCUAGCCUAUUAACUAGACGGUCCCGAUGCCCUCGUCAUCGGCGAGUAAGUAUCUUCUUAAGGGGACAGGCGGCUUAUAGUCGCACGAGAUUGAGCAAUAACAGGUCUGUGAUGCCCUUAGAUGUCCUGGGCCGCACGCGCGCUACAAUGAAGGAAUCAACGUGUGUCUCCCAGCCCGAAAGGGCCGGGUAAUCCGCUGAACCUCUAGCGUGCUUGGGAUUGUGGCUUGAAAUUAAUCACAUGAACGAGGAAUUCCCAGUAAGCGCGAGUCAUUAGCUCGCGUUGAUUACGUCCCUGCCCUUUGUACACACCGCCCGUCGCUACUACCGAUUGAAUGAUUUAGUGAGGUCUUCGGACUGGCGGGAAAUCUCUAUCGCUCCGGCGGUAUUGACGAACGCUGGGAAGAUGACCAAACUUGAUCAUUUAGAGGAAGUAAAAGUCGUAA
This 633-nucleotide ribosomal RNA is filed under the name Salicarus roseri. Its description in RNAcentral is "SSU rRNA". It matches the Rfam family "Eukaryotic small subunit ribosomal RNA", at positions 1154 to 1794 of the family's 1831-position model. Lineage: Eukaryota; Metazoa; Arthropoda; Insecta; Hemiptera; Miridae. The record is from RNAcentral.